GGUAGGAGCUGGCUUGCCUGCGAUAGCGGUGGGUCAGGCAACACAUCUGUGUCUGAUAGACCGCAAUCGCAGGCAAGCCAGCUCCCACA
This 89-nucleotide unclassified non-coding RNA is filed under the name Pseudomonas yamanorum. Lineage: Bacteria; Pseudomonadati; Pseudomonadota; Gammaproteobacteria; Pseudomonadales; Pseudomonadaceae. The record is from RNAcentral.